UACGGAGGGUGCGAGCGUUACCCGGAUUUACUGGGCGUAAAGGGCGUGUAGGCGGUUUUUUAAGUCCGGGGCUAAAGGCCAGGGCUCAACCCUGGGUUUGCCUUGGAUACUGGAAAGCUCGGCGGCUGGCGGGGGCAGCGGAAUCUCCGGAGUAGCGGUGAAAUGCGCAGAUACCGGAAGGAAAGCCAAUAGCGAAGGCAGCUGCCUGGACAGUACGGGACGCUGAGGCGCGAAAGCGUGGGGAGCAAAUCGG
Molecule: ribosomal RNA, 253 nt
Filed under: uncultured bacterium
Lineage: Bacteria
Description: partial 16S ribosomal RNA
Rfam family: Bacterial small subunit ribosomal RNA
Source: RNAcentral